This 207-nucleotide ribosomal RNA is filed under the name uncultured bacterium. Its description in RNAcentral is "partial 16S ribosomal RNA". It matches the Rfam family "Bacterial small subunit ribosomal RNA", at positions 568 to 774 of the family's 1533-position model. The record is from RNAcentral.
CGCGUAGGCGGUUUGUUUAGUUAGGCGUGAAAUUCCUGGGCUUAACCUGGGGACUGCGCUUAAUACAGGCAGACUUGAGUUCGGAAGAGGGUCGUGGAAUUCCCAGUGUAGAGGUGAAAUUCGUAGAUAUUGGGAAGAACACCGGUGGCGAAGGCGGUGACCUGGUCCGAUACUGACGCUGAGGCGCGAAAGCGUGGGGAGCAAACA